Molecule: long non-coding RNA, 1355 nt
Filed under: Callithrix jacchus (white-tufted-ear marmoset)
Lineage: Eukaryota; Metazoa; Chordata; Mammalia; Primates; Cebidae
Description: lncRNA (ENSCJAG00000083727.1)
Source: RNAcentral
CUGUGUUUAUACUUUAAUUGUGUUAAUAUUUUUCAGGUUUUGCUUUCUGGAAUACUGCAAUGUUUGUUCAAUUUAGAAGUUAAGGAAACAUGCACAAAAAUAAAGAAUAGAUAUUUCGUUGUCAGAGCAAAUGAAUAUUGCUGUUCAUUAUCUUGGAAUCAACAUACUGAACUCAUUUUUCCAGCAAAUAAAGCUUCUCAGUUGCUGUUACAUUCUACUUGGAUGGGUUAAUGUGCACUGAGAGAAGGGGAUUGGAAUACCAGUGUUGGCAGAGAAGGCUACCUGAGUUUCAGGUAAUUUUUGUUCAGUAAAUUUCUACUUUUCAGGUUCUAAAAUCUCUGUGAAAGCUGAGAAAUUGGCUUUUACUUCCAAGCUAAGGGGAAAUCAAUAUUUCAUGUUUGAGCUUAUGUUAAACUUGUAAAAAUUUUAUAUAUAUCAGCACUACAAUGUAUUAAUCUAUGAUAAAAAUUUUGUUAAAAUUAACUGGAAUAUGAUUCCAAUACCAGUAGCUGUUAGGUGUAUGGAAAACUACAUAAUAAUUGCUAAAUUCUUUGCUUGUUUCACUGGGAAAUAGGCUUCUUUAGAAGAUUGAUAAUUUCCAAAUCAUUUUUUCUUCUUACUCUAAGCAACUAGCAUAGUACUCAAUAACUAUAAAACUACUUGAUGAAUGAGUAGGUGGAUGAAUUUUAAUGGCAUUAUCUUUAACUAUCAUUUAUAAUCAAAAGAAAAUCUGAUUGAGUUGUGAAGGCACAAUGUAGGUAAGCUUUCAAUACAAAUAUAUAAUGAAGAGGGAAAAUCUCAUAGUCCACCAUGAUUGCAAAUGUCACAGCCUGUAAAGUAAUUGUCAUAAGAGACCAGCCUCCUUUAAAAAAGGUUUUAUAAUUUUCUUAUAUAUAGUGUGUAUUUUAAAAAUCAUAUCGUUGGCAAAUUAGUCUGAACAUGGUUACUUUAGAAGCUAUUUCUAUUGAAUUCACAAUGAAAUCUAAAUUCUUAAAUAUAUGACAAUAGACAAUUACAUGGUUAAUAAAUAUAGUAUCUGUAUAUACAGAGAAUCAUAUCACAGAAAUUACUAGUUAAUAUAUAUUUUAUUAUCCAUGAGUAAUAGAUCUUUUCUCAUAAUUUUUAUUUAAGUAAGUAUGCUAAGGAGGUUGUGAAAUAAAUUACCCUCAUCUUGGAAACAGAAUGCACAAUAGUCCCAUGAGCAUGAUGUAUCACAUAUCAUAAAAAAAUUGCUUGCAAAUUUAUAACAAAUAAGAUUGUUUUCUUUUGUUUCUUCCUGAUUCUUGGAUUCAAACAGCUCUAAAUUCACAACCAUAGAAGGAAGAAAUGAAAAGACCCACAAAUACAGAAUCUGG